GGUGAUUGUGUGUCUGUCUUCGGCAUACACCUUGAAGGACUGCAACAAUCCGGGAAGAGUUGACGGGUCCUGCGCUGAUGGCAAUGAACAAGAUGAUGUGCAGUGGCCUAGUAGAAGAGGAGACACAUUUUUCACGAAGUGUUUUUUAAUUACCAUCAAGUGAUCAUGGUAAAUUUCCAAAUAGUCAUUGAUGGGACUUAGUUUAUAUUCAGGUAUUCACAUCAAAGAUGAUACUGUCCAUUACCAGUUAACAAGUUGUAUCCUGCCACUUGCUUGUCAUAAGUAUGUUUCUUAAGAUUCUAGCAGUCCUGACACCACAGUGAUAGACCGUGGUCGUCAGUAGGAACUUUCCGGUAAGCAGCUAUGUGAUAUUGUGGAUGUCACCAAUUAGUUGAGAUCAACUGUUCUUGAGAUAGGUAAGUGAAAAUGGUGUCCCAAACACUGACCACAGCGUUAACAUAUCUUUUCUGCAAGUAUCCUGUUAAAGUUUUGCUGUUGCACAGGCAUGAGAUGAUGUCCCAUCAGUUCAUUAGACAUCCCUAUUUUCCAAUAUGCAUGUGAUCAUUGAUAUUUGAAUACUCUUCCGUUACACAUACUCCUGGCUUAUAUGCAGCAGUUUAAUUUGUCCCUAAUA
Long non-coding RNA from Neofelis nebulosa (Clouded leopard), 634 nucleotides. RefSeq lists it as uncharacterized. The transcript is spliced from 3 exons. NCBI's taxonomy places the organism in Eukaryota, Metazoa, Chordata, Mammalia, Carnivora, Felidae. The record is from RefSeq and is a predicted model, not a curated record.